UGCCCAGCAACUCCUAUCCCUACCUCCUCGCGGUACUGGCCGGGGUACGAGUAACCUUAGGGAAGAUCGGGUAACCAACCUCCGAUGGGAACUUUGGUCGUAUGCUGACAGGGAAGG
This 117-nucleotide ribozyme is filed under the name Aedes aegypti (yellow fever mosquito). RNAcentral describes it as "drz-agam-1 ribozyme". It matches the Rfam family "drz-agam-1 ribozyme". The record is from Rfam by way of RNAcentral. Lineage: Eukaryota; Metazoa; Arthropoda; Insecta; Diptera; Culicidae.